RNAcentral lists this ribosomal RNA (207 nucleotides) under uncultured bacterium. RNAcentral's name for it is "partial 16S ribosomal RNA". It matches the Rfam family "Bacterial small subunit ribosomal RNA", at positions 568 to 774 of the family's 1533-position model. The record is from RNAcentral.
CUCGUAGGCGGUUCGUCGCGUCCGGUGUGAAAGUCCAUCGCUUAACGGUGGAUCUGCGCCGGGUACGGGCGGGCUGGAGUGCGGUAGGGGAGACUGGAAUUCCCGGUGUAACGGUGGAAUGUGUAGAUAUCGGGAAGAACACCAAUGGCGAAGGCGGGUCUCUGGGCCGUUACUGACGCUGAGGAGCGAAAGCGUGGGGAGCGAACA